Myotis brandtii (Brandt's bat) is the source of this 320-nucleotide long non-coding RNA. RefSeq lists it as uncharacterized. The record is from RefSeq and is a predicted model, not a curated record. Lineage: Eukaryota; Metazoa; Chordata; Mammalia; Chiroptera; Vespertilionidae. The transcript has 3 exons.
AGUUCUCCUUCCCAGGUAACCACUGGUCUACUUCCUGUUAUUACAGAGGCAUUUGUAUUUCAUCUAAAUGGAAUCAUCCAGUCUUGCUGAUUACAAAUAAAGCUGCUGUGAAUGUUCAUGACCAGUCUUUGUACAGACUUACACUUCCAUUUCUCCUGAGUAAAUACCUGGCAGACCAUAGGUGGAUCUUGAACAUUUUAGUAAACUGCCAAAGUUAUCAUGCCCACUAGAGAAAGAGGAAGGGAGAUGGAGAGAGAAAGAGAAACAUGGAUGUGAGAGAGAAACAUUGAUCAAUUACUUCAUAUGCAUCCUGACUGGGG